Long non-coding RNA from Ornithorhynchus anatinus (platypus), 763 nucleotides. RefSeq lists it as uncharacterized. The record is from RefSeq and is a predicted model, not a curated record. The transcript has 5 exons. Lineage: Eukaryota; Metazoa; Chordata; Mammalia; Monotremata; Ornithorhynchidae.
GUGGCACAUUGCCCAACAUUGACAUGUGUUAUGGAGAUACAUCUGAAACCCUGAAUUGAAAGCAUUUCCUCUGGGUCCUGGACCCUCCUUUGCUCAGGAGUUAUCUUCCAACAGAUCCCUAUUUUCAGAUGGUGUCGCUUCUGGCAGUCUGGUGCCUUUAGAUUUUUAACCAUUGCUCCCCAACUACACCGUCACUGCCUCACUUCCAUCUUCCUGAAGCAGUUCUGUCAACACCUGACAAAAACCUUGGCAGUAGUUAGACCUGACAGAUUCCCAGUCUUUGUGUCGGAGGAGUGGACUUGUGCGGUUGUGAAGAUGCCCGGACAUCAAUUCUCAUGACCCACUGGCGCAGCAGGGCCAUCCACAGGACACGCCCACAGUGCCGGAGGUGAGUGGCAGAGAAUGUGCUAUAAAACCUCAAAUAAACAAGCUCCUGAUCCCUCUCAGCAGAAUGCCAGCAACUAGAAGCAUAGUUUCCAAACCCUCCUGGAAAACAUCACAGGAUUUGAGUCUCUUUAUGUUGCCUCUGUUCCUGCAUGACAAGAGGUAGCGAGCAGGAUUACUCCGCUGGAGAUCUGGGUCAGUGCCUGAUAGACUGAAGCCGAGGAGAAAGCAAAGACUCCUCAUAGAAGAAGAGAUCUUAGAAACCUUUUGGAAGUUGGGCAGGAUGGUCUGGAGAAUUGUUGAACUGCAUACACAAGAAGAUACAAAAAUGAUAUGUUACUUUGCAGAUGCAAUACAGCAUUAAAGUCUAAAAAAAAUG